Molecule: long non-coding RNA, 207 nt
Filed under: Nicotiana benthamiana
Lineage: Eukaryota; Viridiplantae; Streptophyta; Magnoliopsida; Solanales; Solanaceae
Description: long non-coding RNA (NBEN_LNC002262)
Source: RNAcentral
GUAGAAUUGCCAAGUGAUCAACCCGAAAUGGGAAAAGGCUUCCAUCUUUAAGGUGCAUAAAGCUAUAGAUUUCUUCACUCAUACUAAAUCACUCGCUUCAUCAACAUUUAGACAUAAUUUCCACUCGUUGAAACUCAUCGAACACCAUAACAUACCAAACUUCCAACUCUACAUUCUAAUUGUAUGCCGCCAAACUUCAUGUCAAAC